UACGGGGGGGCAAGCGUUGUUCGGAAUUACUGGGCGUAAAGGGCUCGUAGGCGGCCAACUAAGUCAGACGUGAAAUCCCUCGGCUUAACCGGGGAACUGCAUCUGAUACUGGAUGGCUUGAGAUUGGGAGAGGGAUGCGGAAUUCCAGGUGUAGCGGUGAAAUGCGUAGAUAUCUGGAGGAACACCGGUGGCGAAGGCGGCAUCCUGGACCAACACUGACGCUGAGGAGCGAAAGCCAGGGGAGCAAACGGG
Molecule: ribosomal RNA, 252 nt
Filed under: uncultured bacterium
Lineage: Bacteria
Description: partial 16S ribosomal RNA
Rfam family: Bacterial small subunit ribosomal RNA
Source: RNAcentral